RNAcentral lists this ribosomal RNA (465 nucleotides) under Vreelandella stevensii. RNAcentral describes it as "partial 16S ribosomal RNA". It matches the Rfam family "Bacterial small subunit ribosomal RNA", at positions 338 to 795 of the family's 1533-position model. Lineage: Bacteria; Pseudomonadati; Pseudomonadota; Gammaproteobacteria; Oceanospirillales; Halomonadaceae. The record is from RNAcentral.
CCUACGGGUGGCAGCAGUGGGGAAUAUUGGACAAUGGGGGCAACCCUGAUCCAGCCAUGCCGCGUGUGUGAAGAAGGCCCUCGGGUUGUAAAGCACUUUCAGUGAGGAAGAACGCCUGGUGGUUAAUACCCAUCAGGAAAGACAUCACUCACAGAAGAAGCACCGGCUAACUCCGUGCCAGCAGCCGCGGUAAUACGGAGGGUGCGAGCGUUAAUCGGAAUUACUGGGCGUAAAGCGCGCGUAGGUGGCUUGAUAAGCCGGUUGUGAAAGCCCCGGGCUCAACCUGGGAACGGCAUCCGGAACUGUCAAGCUAGAGUGCAGGAGAGGAAGGUAGAAUUCCCGGUGUAGCGGUGAAAUGCGUAGAGAUCGGGAGGAAUACCAGUGGCGAAGGCGGCCUUCUGGACUGACACUGACACUGAGGUGCGAAAGCGUGGGUAGCAAACAGGAUUAGAUACCCCCGUAGUC